GGUAAAAUGACUGAAGUGUAGGUGAUGAAUUGUAAAUUUAUUUAUGAGUGUAAUCUCUUUUACCA
This 65-nucleotide transfer RNA is filed under the name Metallyticus sp. RNAcentral describes it as "tRNA-Tyr". The record is from RNAcentral. Lineage: Eukaryota; Metazoa; Arthropoda; Insecta; Mantodea; Metallyticidae.